Molecule: ribosomal RNA, 253 nt
Filed under: uncultured bacterium
Lineage: Bacteria
Description: partial 16S ribosomal RNA
Rfam family: Bacterial small subunit ribosomal RNA
Source: RNAcentral
UACGUAGGGUGCAAGCGUUGUCCGGAAUUAUUGGGCGUAAAGAGCUCGUAGGCGGUUUGUCGCGUCUGCUGUGAAAACCCGCGGCUCAACCGCGGGCCUGCAGCCGAUACGGGCAGGCUAGAGUUCGGUAGGGGAGACUGGAAUUCCUGGUGUAGCGGUGAAAUGCGCAGAUAUCAGGAGGAACACCGAUGGCGAAGGCAGGUCUCUGGGCCGGAUACUGACGUGAGGAGCGAAAGCAUGGGGAGCGAACAGG